GUGAAUCAUCGAAUCUUUGAACGCAACUUGCGCUCUCUGGUAUUCCGGAGAGCAUGCCUGUUUGAGUGUCAUGAAAUCUCAACCAUUAGGGUUUCUUAAUGGCUUGGAUUUGGAGGUUGCCAUUCUGAAUGGCUCCUCUCAAAAGAGUUAGUGAGUUUAACUAUUGCUAUCUGGCGUAAUAAGUUUCGCUGGAAUGGUAUUGUGAAGCGCGCUUCUAAUCGUCUUCGGACAAUUACUUUGACUCUGGCCUCAAAUCAGGUAGGACUACCCGCUGAACUUAAGCAUAUCAAUAAGCGGAGGA
Molecule: unclassified non-coding RNA, 301 nt
Filed under: Apiotrichum sp.
Lineage: Eukaryota; Fungi; Basidiomycota; Tremellomycetes; Trichosporonales; Trichosporonaceae
Description: partial contains 5.8S ribosomal RNA, internal transcribed spacer 2, and large subunit ribosomal RNA
Rfam family: 5.8S ribosomal RNA (bases 1-71)
Source: RNAcentral